CAGCUAAUAUAAUCUGCUAAAAAAAAAUAUUUUAAUAUCUUUUUCAUUUCUACUUCUCUUAGACCUAUGAUAAAUCAUUCCUAAUCAAUUUAUUUCUCAUGUUCCUUUCUUUUUCUUCUCCAUGGUUUACGUUCUUUGUCUUUUGCCUUCAUAUAUUUUAUCUCAGGUAAGUCGGAGAUCUAAAGACACCACGGCAACGAUUUUGCUCAGCUUCUUGGACUUAAAGUUGAUGAAGAUUUCUCUUCAAAAUUCUCCACAUCUUCUACCAUCAUCUGAUUAACUCAUCAUCGUCUGAGCCUCCACUGGCAGAUCUACCAAAUUCUCUCCUUUAAAUCAACACUUUCUUUGUUAAUUUUUGUCCUACAUAUAUUUGGGUGGUUCAAGUUUGUAAUUCCAAUUAUUAUUAUUUUUUAGUAAUUUUGAUUUGUGGGUACUAAUCAAUUUGAUUUUCUGCUGUAAAAAAUUAAUGAUAUUUGAUGUGGAUACUACUUAAUUUUGAUUCUUUUCGGUAAGAUGUCUGCUAAUAAAAUUCGUAUUAUUUCAGGAUCAUCAUGAGAUUACACUUAUCUAAAGCCUAUGUUUAUAGGAAGCUAUAGAUAAAUCAGUAAAAUUCUGGGGUCUUGCAAAUUUACUCCAAAAGAAACCACCAAGAGAAGUCUUCAUCCUUUUGUGCUACAGUUAGCAGAGAUCGUUUUAGCUAAGACAAGAUAUAUAAUGCUUGGUUACUUAAUUGCUAAGAUUUACUCUUUGAAUUGUACGAUAAAAACAUUUGUAUUCUCAAUUUUUUACAAUACUGCUAAAUCCUGUAUUACUUGAUUUUGCUAUGCCUAAACUAUUGUACUUACAAA
Molecule: long non-coding RNA, 848 nt
Organism: Mercurialis annua (annual mercury)
Lineage: Eukaryota; Viridiplantae; Streptophyta; Magnoliopsida; Malpighiales; Euphorbiaceae
Exons: 4
Source: RefSeq, a predicted model, not a curated record